RNAcentral lists this long non-coding RNA (2190 nucleotides) under Nicotiana benthamiana. RNAcentral's name for it is "long non-coding RNA (NBEN_LNC022952)". Lineage: Eukaryota; Viridiplantae; Streptophyta; Magnoliopsida; Solanales; Solanaceae. The record is from RNAcentral.
UUUAGUUAGAAUAUUUCUACCCUUAUCAUCUCAUCAGCACAUGGUUUAUAUGCCAUGUUUAACAUAGAAUAAUUAAUACGAAAUGGAAGGUAAAGAACUAACACAUAUUGGAACAAAUGAGUGAGCUCUGCUUAACGAUUUUAUGGUCAAGUGCAACCUGAAGACCUUAAGAAACAAGCCACAUAAAAUCAGAUGAAAGCUAAGAGCAUGUUUCACAUAUUUAGUUCUGACUUGAAUUCAAAAAAUAAAUUUGCUUCAAAGUAAACAUUAGGAUUUGUUGUCAGUGGGGUAUUUUGCAUCUUAUUCCAUAAAGUUUCUAAGAGGUUUAUCUUUCCUCUUCUUUAUUCUGUUACUUGAGUAUUUUGCUAUUUCCUGAAAGCUAACAUGUACAGCACAUAACAGAAACCGCUAAACUUACAUGCUCAUCAGACUUAAUCCACUGUAAUUCCAGACUCUCCGGCCUUGCAUUUCUAAGUAAAUGCUGCAACAAAGAAAUGUAGUGUUAUUAUACACACAAACCAAAGGAAGCAUUACGUUGUUCUUUUUUUAUUUGAAGACUAAACUAGGAAUCGACAAUUUUAUGCAACAAGCAUUAUCAUUUUGAGGCUUUCUCUUUUUUACACUGUAUGUACAACAUACACAAGUUUCUUCCACACACAUCACAUUUGGCAGUCUCAGGUGUCUGCAAUCAAAACAAAAGUAAUUCAACAGGAGCAAUGUUUGAGACAAUCAAUAGCGGUCGUUGAAACACAAUAUGCAGCAUGAAUGCACAAAUCAUAAGUAAUAAUGAAGGAACUACAUGCACAUGUUCAAUUUUAUCCUUUCAAUGUUCAAAAUCAACCACUUAUUCUGCGUACCCCUACGCACUAUUUCAAAGGGGAAAAGAAUGCAGAAAACUGCAGACGAGAGCACCCCAUAGCACCAAUUUUAUCCUUUCAAUGUUCAAAAUCAAUCACUUAUUCCGUUCCGAAGUUUGUCUUUGUAGUGAUGGUUCUUGAUCCUUUUUUGUGUGUAUAUGUGCAAACAGCUGCUGCCAGAACUUUUUUUAGUAUUAGUCUAUGGAUGAAGUAUAAUGUUCUCUCUUUUCAUACUCCACUUUGGUUUUCUUAAAUUUGUAGUGUUACUACUACUAGUUCUUGGUCUUAGAAGAAGAAUAAGCUGCAUUUUUAGUUUGCUGAACUAAUUUAAUAUUCAUUCCAAUCUACCAUCUCUAGGAAAGCAUAUUGAAUGCAUCAUGCUACUAAUGAAUUUGUAUGCUUCAAUGGCAGUUCAUUAUUAUUUAUUAAGAUCACUCAAAUGCGCGCAACUGUUAGCCUACCUUUGCUUCAAUCAUACUCAUAUACUUAACUAUUGCCAAGGCUUAGUUAAUGUUUCCAUACUAUACAACAGUGGGUAAAUCUGAAAUCAACCAACAUAUAUAGCAGAUAAUGAGAAGAGAAAAAACUAAUAACAAGGAAUAGAUGUAACAUACCAGCAUUGGUUUUGGAAACAGGAAACCUCUCAUAUCUUCUUACAGUGCUUAAAUUUACACAAAUGUAUCAGUGAUUUCUAAAGCACAACCAACAGGCCCAACAACAGAACUACAACUCCAAGGGCUAUGUAUUUAUUGUCAGGAUCAGUGAUUUCUACAGCACAACUAGCUGAAAGACGGCAGCACGGUAAUAAAUAAGCUGCAUCCUUAUUUAAAUCGUUACCACUGCCUAUCUAGUCAGAUAAAGCAAAAAUGUACAUUAUGAGGUUAUCAGGAAAAUCUUAACGGAAAAAGAAUAACCAAAAUAGAGCACAAACUGGUCUAAAAAAGUAAAUGUACCAAAGGUCGUGUUUAUGUUGUUCCAAAGUCAGACCCAGGCUUCCUAUCUAAUAACUCUCUUAUUGAUACCCCCAAAUCCAAUAGUUGAAAAAGAAAUAAGAACGAGAAAUGGGGAACUGUUUCAAGCUGUUGUUUCCCUUUGUUCUUCUUUCCUUCUACUUAUAAAGAAGUGAACUUUAGCACAAUCUUAAAUAGCUAGAUCGGCCUUUAAAAUCAUUAGGAUACAUAUAGAUUCUUUAGAAUUAGGCAAAAAGCAAUCAAGAAAGACCAACCAUUGGCGCAGCGUCUGUUAAAAAAGACCAACCAUUGGCACAACUUCUUUAAAGCAUAGAAUUAUAGAACUUAUAUUUUAUUGAAUAACCACAUAUCAUGUAUUUUAA